GCUAGGUGUAGCUCAGUGGUAGUGUGCUGGUCUAGCAUGUGUGAGGCCCUGGGUUCCAUUCCCAGCACCACA
Molecule: transfer RNA, 72 nt
Filed under: Marmota monax (woodchuck)
Lineage: Eukaryota; Metazoa; Chordata; Mammalia; Rodentia; Sciuridae
Description: tRNA.Ala
Source: RNAcentral